Molecule: ribosomal RNA, 253 nt
Filed under: uncultured bacterium
Lineage: Bacteria
Description: partial 16S ribosomal RNA
Rfam family: Bacterial small subunit ribosomal RNA
Source: RNAcentral
UACGAAGGGGGCUAGCGUUGCUCGGAAUUACUGGGCGUAAAGGGCGCGUAGGCGGACAGUUUAGUCAGAGGUGAAAGCCCAGGGCUCAACCUUGGAAUUGCCUUCGAUACUGGAGAUCUUGAGACCGGAAGAGGUAAGUGGAACUGCGAGUGUAGAGGUGAAAUUCGUAGAUAUUCGCAAGAACACCAGUGGCGAAGGCGGCUUACUGGUCCGGUUCUGACGCUGAGGCGCGGAAGCGUGGGGAGCAAACAGG